AGGGCGCACGGUGGAUGCCUUGGCACUAGGAGCCGAUGAAGGACGGGACUAACACCGAUAUGCUUUGGGGAGCUGUACGUAAGCUAUGAUCCAGAGAUUUCCGAAUGGGGGAACCCAGCAUCUUUAAUAGGAUGUUACGAUUGUGUGAAUACAUAGCACAUUCGAGGUAGACGCAGAGAACUGAAACAUCUAAGUACCUGCAGGAAGAGAAAGAAAAUUCGAUUCCCUGAGUAGCGGCGAGCGAAACGGGAAAAGCCCAAACCAACAAGCUUGCUUGUUGGGGUUGUAGGACUCCAAUAUGGUCGUUCUUUCAGAUAGUCGAAUGACUUGGAAAAGUCAGUCAAAGAGGGUAAAAACCCCGUAGACGAAAUGUGGAAGACACCUAGGAGGAUCCUGAGUACGGCGGAACACGAGAAAUUCCGUCGGAAUCCGGGAGGACCAUCUCCCAAGGCUAAAUACUCCCUAGUGACCGAUAGUGAACCAGUACCGUGAGGGAAAGGUGAAAAGCACCCCGGAAGGGGAGUGAAAUAGAACCUGAAACCGUGUGCCUACAACAAGUCAAAGCCCGUUAAUGGGUGAUGGCGUGCCUUUUGUAGAAUGAACCGGCGAGUUACGAUUGCAUGCGAGGUUAAGUUGAAGAGACGGAGCCGCAGCGAAAGCGAGUCUGAAUAGGGCGUUUGAGUAUGUAGUCGUAGACCCGAAACCAUGUGAUCUACCCAUGUCCAGGUUGAAGGUGCGGUAAAACGCACUGGAGGACCGAACCCACGUACGUUGAAAAGUGCGGGGAUGAGGUGUGGGUAGCGGAGAAAUUCCAAACGAACUUGGAGAUAGCUGGUUCUCUCCGAAAUAGCUUUAGGGCUAGCCUCGGAAUUGAGAAUGAUGGAGGUAGAGCACUGUUUGGACUAGGGGCCCAUCUCGGGUUACCGAAUUCAGAUAAACUCCGAAUGCCAUUCAUUCAUAUCCGGGAGUCAGACUGUGAGUGAUAAGAUCCAUAGUCGAAAGGGAAACAGCCCAGACCACCAGCUAAGGUCCCAAAAUAUAUGUUAAGUGGAAAAGGAUGUGGGGUUGCACAGACAACUAGGAUGUUGGCUUAGAAGCAGCCACCAUUUAAAGAGUGCGUAAUAGCUCACUAGUCGAGUGACCCUGCGCCGAAAAUGUACCGGGGCUAAACAUAUUACCGAAGCUGUGGAGUACACCUUUAGGUGUAUUGGUAGGAGAGCGUUCUAAGGGCGUCGAAGGCAGAUCGUGAGGACUGCUGGAGCGCUUAGAAGUGAGAAUGCCGGUAUGAGUAGCGAAAGACAGGUGAGAAUCCUGUCCACCGAAUGACUAAGGUUUCCUGGGGAAGGCUCGUCCGCCCAGGGUUAGUCGGGACCUAAGCCGAGGCCGAUAGGCGUAGGCGAUGGAUAACAGGUUGAUAUUCCUGUACCCGUUGUUUUUGUUUGAGCAAUGGAGGGACGCAGGAGGCUAAGGAAUGCAGACGAUCGGAAAUGUCUGUCCAAGCAGUAAGUCUGAAGAGGAGUCAAAUGCUUCUUUUCUUAAGGACAAGCUGUGAUGGGGAGGGAAAUAAUAGUACCGAAGUUCCUGAUGUCACACUGCCGAGAAAAGCUUCUAGUGAGAAAACAGCGGCCCGUACCGCAAACCGACACAGGUAGUCGAGGAGAGAAUCCUAAGGUGAGCGAGAGAACUCUCGUUAAGGAACUCGGCAAAAUGACCCCGUAACUUCGGGAGAAGGGGUGCUGAUCAUACGAUCAGCCGCAGUGAAUAGGCCCAAGCGACUGUUUAUCAAAAACACAGGUCUCUGCAAAAUCGUAAGAUGAAGUAUAGGGGCUGACGCCUGCCCGGUGCUGGAAGGUUAAGAGGAGUGCUUAGCGCAAGCGAAGGUACGAAUUGAAGCCCCAGUAAACGGCGGCCGUAACUAUAACGGUCCUAAGGUAGCGAAAUUCCUUGUCGGGUAAGUUCCGACCCGCACGAAAGGCGUAACGAUUUGGGCACUGUCUCAACGAGAGACUCGGUGAAAUUUUAGUACCUGUGAAGAUGCAGGUUACCCGCGACAGGACGGAAAGACCCCAUGGAGCUUUACUGUAGUUUGAUAUUGAGUGUCUGUACCGCAUGUACAGGAUAGGUAGGAGCCGUAGAAAUCGGAACGCUAGUUUCGAUGGAGGCGCUGGUGGGAUACUACCCCUGCGUUAUGGCCACUCUAACCCGCACCACUGAUCGUGGUGGGAGACAGUGUCAGAUGGGCAGUUUGACUGGGGCGGUCGCCUCCUAAAAGGUAACGGAGGCGCCCAAAGGUUCCCUCAGAAUGGUUGGAAAUCAUUCGAAGAGUGUAAAGGCAGAAGGGAGCUUGACUGCGAGACCAACAAGUCGAGCAGGGACGAAAGUCGGGCUUAGUGAUCCGGUGGUUCCGCAUGGAAGGGCCAUCGCUCAACGGAUAAAAGCUACCCUGGGGAUAACAGGCUUAUCUCCCCCAAGAGUCCACAUCGACGGGGAGGUUUGGCACCUCGAUGUCGGCUCG
RNAcentral lists this ribosomal RNA (2515 nucleotides) under human gut metagenome. RNAcentral's name for it is "bacterial LSU rRNA". It matches the Rfam family "Bacterial large subunit ribosomal RNA", at positions 14 to 2539 of the family's 2925-position model. The record is from RNAcentral.